Molecule: long non-coding RNA, 590 nt
Organism: Corvus hawaiiensis (hawaiian crow)
Lineage: Eukaryota; Metazoa; Chordata; Aves; Passeriformes; Corvidae
Exons: 4
Source: RefSeq, a predicted model, not a curated record
CUGUACUGGCAAGGCUGUGCACCUUCCAUGAGACCAGCCCUUCCCUGACAUGCCUAUCAAAAAGGUGUCACACAUUUGGGGAAGUACUGAGAGAAACUCACGCCAGAAAGACCCACCAAGGAGCUUCAGACUCUUCAUUCUUUCUUCGGAGAUUCACAGGUCCCAGGUAACAGGAUGAGAAUGGUGCAAAAGCCCCACGUCUGCCUUCUAAAGAGCCCUGCCCACUGCUGAAACAGAAGCUGGACUUCAGCAAGUGCUUUUUGAACUUUCCAGGGUUAAAGGCUUCGCAUGGAGCCAGCAUCACCCAUGGAGAUGGUUCUGCGGGACUUCGCUGGUGUUUUUACCCUAUGAAUAAUUGCAAGAUGGGAUCUAGGUCUGAGAACUCAGAGCACUUAGGGAAGAAACCAUGAAAGUCUUCACCACUUGUUUCACCACAUGGCUCCUUUGGCAGCACACUCAGAGAAGGGCUUGUGCCAAGGCUACAGGCAUACUUCCCGGAUCCUGAGAUGUGGGAUACAGCGCACUCAAUGACCCUCACCCCAAUUUUUUUUUCUUCCCCCCAAAAAAUAAACCAAAUCCCUCCUCAGCCA